RNAcentral lists this ribosomal RNA (253 nucleotides) under uncultured bacterium. RNAcentral's name for it is "partial 16S ribosomal RNA". It matches the Rfam family "Bacterial small subunit ribosomal RNA", at positions 524 to 776 of the family's 1533-position model. The record is from RNAcentral.
UACAGAGGUCUCAAGCGUUGUUCGGAUUCAUUGGGCGUAAAGGGUGCGUAGGUGGCGCCGUAAGUCAGGUGUGAAAUUUCGGAGCUUAACUCCGAAACUGCAUUUGAUACUGCGGUGCUUGAGGACUGGAGAGGAGACUGGAAUUUACGGUGUAGCAGUGAAAUGCGUAGAGAUCGUAAGGAAGACCAGUGGCGAAGGCGGGUCUCUGGACAGUUCCUGACACUGAGGCACGAAGGCGUGGGGAGCAAACAGG